CUACAGGGAUGAUAUGAAAACUGAACUCUCUCUUUCUGAUGGUUUAGUGGGGAAAACAAAAAUUCUCUGAGUAGC
RNAcentral lists this small nucleolar RNA (75 nucleotides) under Mus caroli (Ryukyu mouse). Its description in RNAcentral is "predicted gene, 25894 (MGP_CAROLIEiJ_G0036204.1)". It matches the Rfam family "Small nucleolar RNA SNORD26". Rfam says of the family: U26 is a member of the C/D class of snoRNA which contain the C (UGAUGA) and D (CUGA) box motifs. U26 is encoded within the U22 snoRNA host gene (UHG) in mammals and is thought to act as a 2'-O-ribose methylation guide for ribosomal RNA. Lineage: Eukaryota; Metazoa; Chordata; Mammalia; Rodentia; Muridae. The record is from RNAcentral.